UACAGAGGGUGCGAGCGUUAAUCGGAAUUACUGGGCGUAAAGCGCGCGUAGGCGGCUUUGCAAGUCGGAUGUGAAAUCCCCAGGCUUAACCUGGGAACUGCAUCCGAUACUGGAUGGCUUGAAUCCGGGAGAGGGAUGCAGAAUUCCAGGUGUAGCGGUGAAAUGCGUAGAUAUCUGGAGGAAUACCGGUGGCGAAGGCGGCAUCCUGGACCGGCAUUGACGCUGAGUGAGCGAAAGCCAGGGGAGCAAACGGG
RNAcentral lists this ribosomal RNA (254 nucleotides) under uncultured bacterium. Its description in RNAcentral is "partial 16S ribosomal RNA". It matches the Rfam family "Bacterial small subunit ribosomal RNA", at positions 524 to 776 of the family's 1533-position model. The record is from RNAcentral.